UACGUAGGGGGCAAGCGUUGUCCGGAAUCAUUGGGCGUAAAGAGCGUGUAGGCGGCCCGAUAAGUCCGCUGUGAAAGUCCAGGGCUCAACCCUGGAAUGCCGGUGGAUACUGUCGGGCUCGAGUCCGGAAGAGGUGAGUGGAAUUCCUGGUGUAGCGGUGAAAUGCGCAGAUAUCAGGAGGAACACCAAUUGCGAAGGCAGCUCGCUGGGACGUAACUGACGCUGAGACGCGAAAGCGUGGGGAGCAAACAGG
RNAcentral lists this ribosomal RNA (253 nucleotides) under uncultured bacterium. Its description in RNAcentral is "partial 16S ribosomal RNA". It matches the Rfam family "Bacterial small subunit ribosomal RNA", at positions 524 to 776 of the family's 1533-position model. The record is from RNAcentral.